RNAcentral lists this long non-coding RNA (767 nucleotides) under Lactuca sativa (garden lettuce). Its description in RNAcentral is "long non-coding RNA (LSAT_LNC007788)". Lineage: Eukaryota; Viridiplantae; Streptophyta; Magnoliopsida; Asterales; Asteraceae. The record is from RNAcentral.
AAGGAUAUUGUCAGGAGGAAGGGAUUGAUUAUGAAGAGACUUUCGCUCCUGUAGCUAGGCUGGAAUCUGUAAGAAUAUUUCUUGCUUAUGCUGCCCACAAAAACUUUGAAGUUUUCCAAAUGGACGUCAAGUGUGCAUUUCUUAAUGGAGAACUCGAAGAAACAGUGUAUGUGGAGCAACCUCCUGGGUUCGUGAACGAAAAAUAUCCAAAUCNCUGUACGUGGAGCAACCUCCUGGUUUCGUGAACGAAAAAUAUCCAAAUCAUUGCUACAUUCUGGAUAAAGCGGUAUACGGAUUGAAACAAGCUCCGAGAGCCUGGUAUGAAACACUUACUAAAUUCUUAAAGAUAUCUGAAUUCAAACAAGGUUCGGUUGACCCACCCUUCUUUCGCAAAAAGGAAGGUAACCACCUUAUGAUCGUUCAAAUUUACGUCGAUGAUAUCAUCUUUGGCUCAACGAAUCCCAGCCUAACAGCUGAAUUCAGAAAGCUGAUGGAGACUAAAUUUGAAAUGAGCUCAAUGGGUCCUAUUAACUUUUUCCUUGGUUUAAAUAUUAGACAGGGACCCGAAGGCAUCUUUAUCAAUCAGGAAGCUUACACGAAGACUCUCCUAGCAAAGUUUGGUAUGAUGGGAGACUCCAAAGUCAAAGUCCCAAUGGCAUUCGGCACCAAGCUUACCCCAUCUCUAGACAAACCGGCUGUCGACAUCACGCUCUAUCGUCAAAUGAUAGGCUCACUGAUGUAUCUAACUGCUAGCAGGCCUGAUAUCA